RNAcentral lists this ribosomal RNA (522 nucleotides) under uncultured Pseudomonadota bacterium. Its description in RNAcentral is "bacterial SSU rRNA". It matches the Rfam family "Bacterial small subunit ribosomal RNA", at positions 8 to 564 of the family's 1533-position model. Lineage: Bacteria; Pseudomonadati; Pseudomonadota. The record is from RNAcentral.
AGAGUUUGAUCCUGGCUCAGAGCGAACGCUGGCGGCAGGCUUAACACAUGCAAGUCGAAGGUGAAGUCGGACUUCGGUCCGGCGGAAACUGGCGCACGGGUGAGUAACGCGUGGGGAUAUGCCCAAAGGUACGGAAUAACCGUUGGAAGCGACGGCUAAUACCGUAUGCUCCCUCAGGGGAAAAGCUUCGGCGCCCUUGGAUUAUCCCGCGUCCGAUUAGCUUGUUGGUGAGGUAACGGCUCACCAAGGCUCCGAUCGGUAGCUGGUCUGAGAGGACGAUCAGCCACACUGGGACUGAGACACGGCCCAGACUCCUACGGGAGGCAGCAGUGGGGAAUAUUGGACAAUGGGGGCAACCCUGAUCCAGCCAUGCCGCGUGAGUGAAGAAGGCCUUAGGGUUGUAAAGCUCUUUCAGCGGGGAAGAUGAUGACGGUACCCGCAGAAGAAGCCCCGGCUAACUCCGUGCCAGCAGCCGCGGUAAUACGGAGGGGGCUAGCGUUGCUCGGAAUUACUGGGCGUAAA